UUAAGUAGACCGCCUGGGGAGUACGGUCGCAAGAUUAAAACUCAAAUGAAUUGACGGGGGCCCGCACAAGCGGUGGAGCAUGUGGUUUAAUUCGAUGCAACGCGAAGAACCUUACCUACUCUUGACAUCCAGAGAAUCUAGCGGAGACGCUGGAGUGCCUUCGGGAGCUCUGAGACAGGUGCUGCAUGGCUGUCGUCAGCUCGUGUUGUGAAAUGUUGGGUUAAGUCCCGCAACGAGCGCAACCCUUAUCCUUGUUUGCCAGCACGUAAUGGUGGGAACUCCAGGGAGACUGCCGGUGAUAAACCGGAGGAAGGUGGGGACGACGUCAAGUCAUCAUGGCCCUUACGAGUAGGGCUA
RNAcentral lists this ribosomal RNA (357 nucleotides) under Vibrio cholerae. RNAcentral describes it as "bacterial SSU rRNA". It matches the Rfam family "Bacterial small subunit ribosomal RNA", at positions 860 to 1216 of the family's 1533-position model. Lineage: Bacteria; Pseudomonadati; Pseudomonadota; Gammaproteobacteria; Vibrionales; Vibrionaceae. The record is from RNAcentral.